UACGGAGGAUCCAAGCGUUAUCCGGAUUUAUUGGGUUUAAAGGGUGCGUAGGUGGCUUUUUAAGUCAGAGGUGAAAGACGGUAGCUUAACUAUCGCAGUGCCUUUGAUACUGAAGAGCUUGAAUGAACUAGAGGUAGGCGGAAUGUGACAAGUAGCGGUGAAAUGCAUAGAUAUGACACAGAACACCGAUUGCGAAGGCAGCUGACAAAACUGUAACUGACGCUGAGGCACGAAAGCGUGGGGAUCAAACAGG
This 253-nucleotide ribosomal RNA is filed under the name uncultured bacterium. RNAcentral's name for it is "partial 16S ribosomal RNA". It matches the Rfam family "Bacterial small subunit ribosomal RNA", at positions 524 to 776 of the family's 1533-position model. The record is from RNAcentral.